AUGGAAUUAAACGGCACUGCUAUGCUGCUGCACAGAGAGCUUUGCGUUCCUCCAGUUUGGUUGCAGGUUGAAGAGGCUGCUGUGGUGUGCAUUUAAUGUGCUGCAAAGCUGUGCUGUCAACCACCAGCAGCAAGUAAGCACAGCUCCGUGCCUGGGGGUUGUCCCGAGAGCUGAACCACCACCCGUUAACUUAACAGCACCCCGGUGGGCGCUGUGUUGUGGUCGUAAGUGCUGUUCUGGUGGCUGAGGAGAUGGGUGGGGGAUGUUCAGCUGUUCAGAUAAUGAGCUGGUGGCUGAGUCCAGUGAAGCUGUGCCCUCGGGGCUGCCUGACUUCACUUUGUGAAGUGUCAGUGAGGUGGUAGAUACGCUGGUAUGACUGAGGAGCUGCUGUGCCGACACUGAAGUUCUGUUAGGUGCACUGCAGCUGGCUGUGGUUGAGAGUUCCAGCCUAGGCUCGCAGUCCUGGGGCCAUUAUGAGUGGUGCUGAUAUUUUUACAACCUGUCCUGUGAGUUCUGUUAUAGUUUCAAUAACGACUUUAGCACAUAGCCUGCUGGGAGCAUUGCUACCUGUAGUGAUAGCUGCUGGCUUUGUCUUAAGGCAGAUAAGGUCUUGAAAAUUUUAGAGCAAAUUCUAUUACAUUUUUUUUAAUCAUUUUUAAUACUUUAGUAAUCAAGCUGGUAAAUCUUGAAAAGCAUAUAUAACCACUUUGUCAGAGCAUGGUAAAUUUCACAGCUGCUCUUGUCCCACUGGCUGCUUUCAACAGGAGCUCUUUGCGGUGACUCCUCCAGGCCUGUCCACGUUCACCUUGGGUGAAUGUGCACUUUGAAGCCAGGUAUGGAUGGCUGAUUUUCUAACCUUGCAUCACUCCUUCUCUGUGUGUGGAAGUGCAUCUCAUGGUUGCUCAGAUGCUUUCAGCAAGAACGCAGUUGGUAAGCUUUCAUCCCAGGGCUCUGAAGGACUGAGGCUGUUGGUGUGCAUCCUGACGUGUCCCAGCACAGGGUCAGUCACCGCUGCAGUUCUCAGGCGUUCCUUCUGGAUUGGAUUUGUGGGAUGCAGUUUCAUAGGUGAUGGUUGUCUGAAAUGUUUAGAAGGAAGAAUUUCUGUGGCCGAAGGGGAAUUUGAUUUCCAGCUGAGACUGGAAUGUUCUAACCUGGUAGAAUCCCUCCUUGUGUAUGCCACUUAUCCCACUGCAAGAUUGCACGGAAUCAAGUAUAUUUGAAGCAGCAGAGGGUCAUCUUUCAGUGGGUACAUGCAUUUUACAUUUAUAUAUUCUGCAGUUUUGUUUUUCUGUGAUACUGUUUGCUAUAGUGAUAUUAAAGCAGGCUGAACGUGGGCAUUUAAAGCAGUGUAAUCAUAUCCGUUGACUUUGCUUUCUGAAACGGUUGGAUCCUGUAGUGACUCUCAAGCCUGGUGCACGUUAGUGUUCAUCGUGGCAGGGAUUUCCUUCCCACUAUGAGAUUGUUUUGUUAUGUCACCGUGCUCCCAAAAUCUGCCUCUUCCUUUUGAACAAACCAAAAAAAAAAUCACUGAGUACCUCUAUGAACCCCUGCAAAACCUGUACUGUAACGAACCUGUACGAUUUGUAUCGCUGUACAAAACUCCAAUAAAAGCAUUCAAACC
Gallus gallus (chicken) is the source of this 1621-nucleotide long non-coding RNA. Lineage: Eukaryota; Metazoa; Chordata; Aves; Galliformes; Phasianidae. The record is from Ensembl.